Molecule: long non-coding RNA, 902 nt
Organism: Bubalus bubalis (water buffalo)
Lineage: Eukaryota; Metazoa; Chordata; Mammalia; Artiodactyla; Bovidae
Exons: 2
Source: RefSeq, a predicted model, not a curated record
AUUAGGAAAUGGCCACCUGAGAUUAAUAAGGCUACCAGGCUCCUCCAUCCAUGGGAUUGUAGAUUGAGACUGUAAACCCUGCUCACACCCUAAUCUUGUCACAGACCCCACCUCUGAACCACUGUUAUAAAACCCUUCAUCAUAUCCUCUGGGGUUGAGACAUAGCAGAAGCCUCCCUUGCCGGGCAAAGCAAUGAAGUUAUCCUUUUCUACUUCAUCUAAAACUCUGUCUCCGGGAUUUGAUUCAGGACCAGUGAUAGAGAGCCCAAGCUUUCGGUAACAAAACCCUCUGACACUAGCAGUGCGGUAUCUCUUCUGGUGGGUUCCAGCGUCUUCCUGCUGAUGGUUGUUCAGCAGUUGUGAUUUCACUGCUCCCAUGAGAAGAGGUGGGUACGUGUCCUUCUACUCUGCCGUCUUGAACCAAUCGCUCAAUUUUUGAGCUACUACUGCUAUAAUCUGUGUCUGAGAUUAAAAGUCAUUAACGGUGAUGAAACCAGAUAAAGUGUAAAACUUGCCAUCUUCUACAACUUACUAUACAUAUUUCUUGAAUAUCAUUUUACUUAACACACAAAUUACUUGUUUAUCUAUAGGUUCAUAAAAGCAAUUUAUUUAAAAAUCAUACAAAAAUUCUUUCAAAAAUGUCACUUGGAGCAUUAAAAUAAAUAACAAUAGUAAUGUAUAAUGAUCUAAUGCUAUUAUAACCACAUACAUAUGUACAUGCAUACAUUAGGGAGAAGAAAAACUUACAAUAGAAUGCCGACCAUUAAAGUCAGAAAGAAUGAUGGAGUUAGAAGGCUACUAUUUAGUAGAUUACACAGUGAAAAUUGAUUUGGGCAGGAGUCGUCCUCAAAAGCUAAAACUUGUUGGUAAAGGUUUGAUGAGGAACAGAACAUGCAGAUAGUU